Long non-coding RNA from Alosa alosa (allis shad), 319 nucleotides. RefSeq lists it as uncharacterized. The transcript has 3 exons. Lineage: Eukaryota; Metazoa; Chordata; Actinopteri; Clupeiformes; Clupeidae. The record is from RefSeq and is a predicted model, not a curated record.
AUUGCACUUAGGCAGUCUUUGGCAAGAUCUGAAUCACGGAGCCGUCACGUGACUUAAGUCACGUGUCUGCAAGGGGUGAAUACAAAAGGAGGCGCCCGGAAAUUGCAUCAGUUGUUCAGGCCUCCUGCUCAGCUGAUGUGAGUAUGUGAGUUCAUGCCCUGGUGGAGCAGGACGCUUGGUUGACCACAGCUGUGUGGUCCCACAGGCCCCGGUGAGCGCAGCCUUAUAUGCAGCACUGUACGUGAGGGCCAAGUCAAGAGCCUGAGAAUGGACCUCAGCCAGUGCUUCCCUGGCAGCUCAUAUGUCUUUCAGGAAAAUU